This 253-nucleotide ribosomal RNA is filed under the name uncultured bacterium. RNAcentral describes it as "partial 16S ribosomal RNA". It matches the Rfam family "Bacterial small subunit ribosomal RNA", at positions 524 to 776 of the family's 1533-position model. The record is from RNAcentral.
UACGAAGGGGGCUAGCGUUGUUCGGAAUUACUGGGCGUAAAGGGCGCGUAGGCGGCUGUGCAAGUCAGGUGUGAAAGCCCUGGGCUCAACCCAGGAUGUGCACUUGAUACUGCACGGCUAGAGUGUCGGAGAGGAUGGUGGGAUUCCCAGUGUAGAGGUGAAAUUCGUAGAUAUUGGGAAGAACACCAGUGGCGAAGGCGGCUCACUGGACCGGUAUUGACGCUGAGGUGCGAAAGCGUGGGGAGCAAACAGG